This 499-nucleotide ribosomal RNA is filed under the name Sericostoma clypeatum. Its description in RNAcentral is "partial 16S ribosomal RNA". The record is from RNAcentral. Lineage: Eukaryota; Metazoa; Arthropoda; Insecta; Trichoptera; Sericostomatidae.
GUCUUUUUGUUUAAUAAUUUAAAGUCUAAUCUGCUCACUGAAAUUAUAAUAUUUAAAGAGCCGCAAUUAAUUGUGCAAAGGUAGCAUAAUCAAUAGUUUUUUAAUUGAAAACUGGUAUGAAUGAUUGGACGAAAUAUAUUCUGUUUCUUAAUUAUUAUAUAAAAUUUAUUUUUUUAAUGAAAAAAUUAAAAUGAUUUUAAAAGACGAGAAGACCCUAUAAAUGUUUAUAUUUUUUUUAUAAAAAAUAUUUAUAAAAAAAAUAUUUUAUUGGGGUGAUAAAAAAAUUUAAAAAACUUUUAUUAUUGUAAUCAUUAAUUAAUGAAUUAUAUGUAUUUAUGAUCUAUAAGUUAUAAAUUAAGAUAAAGAUACUUUAGGGAUAACAGCGUAAUUUUAAUUUUUAGUUCUUAUAAAAAUUAAAGAUUGCGACCUCGAUGUUGGAUUAAAAUUUAUAUUAAAUGUAGAUGUUUAAAUAUUGGGUCUGUUCGACCUUUGAAAUUUU